Molecule: long non-coding RNA, 151 nt
Organism: Carassius auratus (goldfish)
Lineage: Eukaryota; Metazoa; Chordata; Actinopteri; Cypriniformes; Cyprinidae
Exons: 2
Source: RefSeq, a predicted model, not a curated record
GCCACUGAGACCGUCACUCCAGAAGCCACUGAGACCGUCACUCCAGAAGCCACUGAGACCACAGGCUCAUCAAAAGCCACAAGACCCCGGGGCCAGAAGGCAAAAAAAAGACAAAAUCCAGUCCAACAGAGGGUAGCCAGCAAUAUGAAGC